Small nuclear RNA from Gorilla gorilla gorilla (western lowland gorilla), 164 nucleotides. Its record names the gene U1. It matches the Rfam family "U1 spliceosomal RNA". From Rfam's summary of the family: U1 is a small nuclear RNA (snRNA) component of the spliceosome (involved in pre-mRNA splicing). Its 5' end forms complementary base pairs with the 5' splice junction, thus defining the 5' donor site of an intron. The record is from Ensembl. NCBI's taxonomy places the organism in Eukaryota, Metazoa, Chordata, Mammalia, Primates, Hominidae.
AUGUUUAUCUGGCAGAAGAAAUGUUAUGAUCACGAAGGUGGUUUUUCCAGGGCAAGGUUUAGCAAUUUUAUUCUGGAUGUGCUGACCCCUGUGAUUUCCCCAAACGUGGGAAUCUCGAUUACAUAGUUUGUGGCAGUGGGGAACUGUGUUUGUGUUUUCCCCUG